Toxocara canis (dog roundworm) is the source of this 57-nucleotide transfer RNA. It matches the Rfam family "tRNA", at positions 8 to 63 of the family's 71-position model. From Rfam's summary of the family: Transfer RNA (tRNA) molecules are approximately 80 nucleotides in length. Their secondary structure includes four short double-helical elements and three loops (D, anti-codon, and T loops). Further hydrogen bonds mediate the characteristic L-shaped molecular structure. tRNAs have two regions of fundamental functional importance: the anti-codon, which is responsible for specific mRNA codon recognition, and the 3' end, to which the tRNAs corresponding amino acid is attached (by aminoacyl-tRNA synthetases). tRNAs cope with the degeneracy of the genetic code in two manners: having more than one tRNA (with a specific anti-codon) for a particular amino acid; and 'wobble' base-pairing, i.e. permitting non-standard base-pairing at the 3rd anti-codon position. The record is from Rfam. Lineage: Eukaryota; Metazoa; Nematoda; Chromadorea; Rhabditida; Toxocaridae.
UAGCUCAGUGGUAGAGCUCCGGCUUCGUACGCUGGAAGACUUGGGUUCGAUUCCCGG